RNAcentral lists this ribosomal RNA (694 nucleotides) under uncultured Actinomycetes bacterium. RNAcentral's name for it is "bacterial SSU rRNA". It matches the Rfam family "Bacterial small subunit ribosomal RNA", at positions 757 to 1449 of the family's 1533-position model. Lineage: Bacteria; Bacillati; Actinomycetota; Actinomycetes. The record is from RNAcentral.
AAGCGUGGGGAGCGAACAGGAUUAGAUACCCUGGUAGUCCACGCCGUAAACGUUGGGCGCUAGAUGUGGGUCACAUUCCACGUGAUCCGUGUCGCAGCUAACGCAUUAAGCGCCCCGCCUGGGGAGUACGGCCGCAAGGCUAAAACUCAAAGGAAUUGACGGGGGCCCGCACAAGCGGCGGAGCAUGCGGAUUAAUUCGAUGCAACGCGAAGAACCUUACCAAGACUUGACAUAUUCAGGAAAACUGCAGAAAUGUAGUCCCCCGCAAGGGUCUGUUUACAGGUGGUGCAUGGUUGUCGUCAGCUCGUGUCGUGAGAUGUUGGGUUAAGUCCCGCAACGAGCGCAACCCUCGUCCUAUGUUGCCAGCACGUUAUGGUGGGAACUCAUGGGAGACUGCCGGGGUCAACUCGGAGGAAGGUGGGGAUGACGUCAAAUCAUCAUGCCCCUUAUGUCUUGGGCUUCACGCAUGCUACAAUGGCCGGUACAAAGGGCUGCAAUACCGCAAGGUGGAGCGAAUCCCAAAAAGCCGGUCUCAGUUCGGAUUGAGGUCUGCAACUCGACCUCAUGAAGUCGGAGUCGCUAGUAAUCGCAGAUCAGCAACGCUGCGGUGAUACGUUCCCGGGCCUUGUACACACCGCCCGUCAAGUCACGAAAGUCGGUAACACCCGAAGCCGGUGGCCUAACCGUAAGGAAG